GACGAACGCUGGCGGCGUGCUUAACACAUGCAAGUCGAGCGGUAAGGCCCUUUCGGGGGUACGACGAGCGGCGAACGGGUGAGUAACACGUGGGUGACCUGCCCUUAGCUCUGGGAUAAGCCUGGGAAACUGGGUCUAAUACCGGAUAUGACUCCAUGACGCAUGUUGUGGGGUGGAAAGCCUUGUGCGGCUAGGGAUGGGCCUGCGGCCUAUCAGCUUGUUGGUGGGGUGAUGGCCUACCAAGGCGACGACGGGUAGCCGGCCUGAGAGGGCGACCGGCCACACUGGGACUGAGACACGGCCCAGACUCCUACGGGAGGCAGCAGUGGGGAAUCUUGCGCAAUGGGCGAAAGCCUGACGCAGCGACGCCGCGUGGGGAGUGACGGCCUCGG
Molecule: ribosomal RNA, 392 nt
Filed under: uncultured bacterium
Lineage: Bacteria
Description: bacterial SSU rRNA
Rfam family: Bacterial small subunit ribosomal RNA
Source: RNAcentral